Molecule: ribosomal RNA, 497 nt
Filed under: uncultured bacterium
Lineage: Bacteria
Description: partial 16S ribosomal RNA
Rfam family: Bacterial small subunit ribosomal RNA
Source: RNAcentral
GAUGAACGCUGGCGGCGUGCCUAAUACAUGCAAGUCGAGCGAACGGACGAGAAGCUUGCUUCUCUGAUGUUAGCGGCGGACGGGUGAGUAACACGUGGAUAACCUACCUAUAAGACUGGGAUAACUUCGGGAAACCGGAGCUAAUACCGGAUAAUAUUUUGAACCGCAUGGUUCAAAAGUUAAAGACGGUCUUUCUGUCACUUAUAGAUGGAUCCGCGCUGCAUUAGCUAGUUGGUAAGGUAACGGCUUACCAAGGCAACGAUGCAUAGCCGACCUGAGAGGGUGAUCGGCCACACUGGAACUGAGACACGGUCCAGACUCCUACGGGAGGCAGCAGUAGGGAAUCUUCCGCAAUGGGCGAAAGCCUGACGGAGCAACGCCGCGUGAGUGAUGAAGGUCUUCGGAUCGUAAAACUCUGUUAUUAGGGAAGAACAUAUGUGUAAGUAACUGUGCACAUCUUGACGGUACCUAAUCAGAAAGCCACGGCUAACUACGUG